UCAUUGGCAGAAGCAACCGAAGGCAGAAC
Molecule: small RNA, 29 nt
Filed under: Bombyx mori (domestic silkworm)
Lineage: Eukaryota; Metazoa; Arthropoda; Insecta; Lepidoptera; Bombycidae
Description: ovarian small RNA-26371
Source: RNAcentral